This 500-nucleotide ribosomal RNA is filed under the name uncultured bacterium. RNAcentral describes it as "partial 16S ribosomal RNA". It matches the Rfam family "Bacterial small subunit ribosomal RNA", at positions 29 to 523 of the family's 1533-position model. The record is from RNAcentral.
AUUGAACGCUGGCGGCAUGCCUUACACAUGCAAGUCGGACGGCAGCACGGGAGCAAUCCUGGUGGCGAGUGGCGAACGGGUGAGUAAUAUAUCGGAACGUGCCCGGUCGUGGGGGAUGACGUAGCGAAAGCUACGCUAAUACCGCAUACGAUCUAUGGAUGAAAGCGGGGGAUCGCAAGACCUCGCGCGAUCGGAGCGGCCGACAUCAGAUUAGGUAGUUGGUGGGGUAAAGGCUCACCAAGCCGACGAUCUGUAGCUGGUCUGAGAGGACGACCAGCCACACUGGGACUGAGACACGGCCCAGACUCCUACGGGAGGCAGCAGUGGGGAAUUUUGGACAAUGGGCGCAAGCCUGAUCCAGCAAUGCUGCGUGCAGGAUGAAGGCCUUCGGGUUGUAAACUGCUUUUGUACGGAGCGAAAAGGCUCUCUCUAAUACAGGGGGCUCAUGACGGUACCGUAAGAAUAAGCACCGGCUAACUACGUGCCAGCCGCCGCGGUAA